UCACUUAUAUAUAAAUUUUCAAGGAGCUGUUAAGUUUUCUACCAAUGUAGAUUAAAUCAUCUAAUAGCCUUUCCUUAGUGUCAUUUUCAUAUUUCUCUCUCUCUCUCUCUCUCUCUCUCUCUCUCUCUGUCUCUCUCUCUCUCUCUUUCUUAUAUAUAUUGUUUUUUAAGGAGCUGUUAAAUUUUCUUCCAAUGUCGAUUAAAUCAUUUGAUAGCCUUUCCUUAGUGUCCUUUUCAU
Molecule: long non-coding RNA, 237 nt
Filed under: Lathyrus oleraceus (garden pea)
Lineage: Eukaryota; Viridiplantae; Streptophyta; Magnoliopsida; Fabales; Fabaceae
Description: Pisum sativum (pea) long non-coding RNA (PSAT_LNC039215)
Source: RNAcentral